AGGGGUUUUGGAUCCUGGGCUCAGGAUGAACGCUGGCGGCGUGCUUAACACAUGCAAGUCGAACGCAAAAGCCCCCUUCGGGGGGUGAGUAGAGUGGCGAACGGGUGAGUAACACGUUGGUGACCUGCCCCGAGGUGGGGGAUAACCGUGGGAAACCGCGGCUAAUACCCCAGAUGUUAAGGAGUUUAGACGCCCUUAACUAAAGUUCCGGCGCCUUGGGAGGGGCCUGCGGGCUAUCAGCUUGUUGGUGGGGUAAUGGCCUACCAAGGCUAAGACGGCUAGGGGGCGUGAGAGCGCGACCCCCCACAAUGGAACUGAGACACGGUCCAUACUCCUACGGGAGGCAGCAGUGAGGAAUAUUGCGCAAUGGGGGAAACCCUGACGCAGCAACGCCGCGUGAACGAUGAAGGCCUUCGGGUUGUAAAGUUCUUUUCUGAGGGAAGAUAAUGACGAUACCUCAGGAAUAAGUCCCGGCUAACUACGUGCCAGCAGCCGCGGUAAAACGUAGGGGGCGAGCGUUAUCCGGAUUUAUUGGGCGUAAAGCGCACGUAGGCGGCGCUGUAAGUUGGGCGUGAAAGCUCUUAGCUUAACUAAGAGAGGUCGUUCAAAACUACAGUGCUUGAGGUUGGAAGAGGAGAGUGGAAUUCCCGGUGUAGUGGUGGAAUGCGUAGAUAUCGGGGAGGAACACCAGUGGCGAAAGCGACUCUCUGGUCCACACCUGACGCUGAGGUGCGAAAGCGUGGGGAGCGAACGGGAUUAGAUACCCGGUAGUCCACGCCGUAACGAUGGAUACUAGGG
This 798-nucleotide ribosomal RNA is filed under the name uncultured Chloroflexota bacterium. Its description in RNAcentral is "bacterial SSU rRNA". It matches the Rfam family "Bacterial small subunit ribosomal RNA", at positions 9 to 821 of the family's 1533-position model. Lineage: Bacteria; Bacillati; Chloroflexota. The record is from RNAcentral.